Felis catus (domestic cat) is the source of this 85-nucleotide transfer RNA. It matches the Rfam family "tRNA". Rfam says of the family: Transfer RNA (tRNA) molecules are approximately 80 nucleotides in length. Their secondary structure includes four short double-helical elements and three loops (D, anti-codon, and T loops). NCBI's taxonomy places the organism in Eukaryota, Metazoa, Chordata, Mammalia, Carnivora, Felidae. The record is from Rfam.
GCCUGGGUGGCUCAGUCGGUUGAGCGUCCGACGUUGGCUCAGGUCAUGAUCUCGCAGUUCGUGGGUUCGAACCCCGCAUCAGGUU